RNAcentral lists this ribosomal RNA (577 nucleotides) under uncultured bacterium. RNAcentral's name for it is "partial 16S ribosomal RNA". It matches the Rfam family "Bacterial small subunit ribosomal RNA", at positions 357 to 932 of the family's 1533-position model. The record is from RNAcentral.
UGGGAAUUUGGACAAUGGGCGAAAGCCUGAUCCAGCAAUGCCGCGUGUGUGAAGAAGGCCUUCGGGUUGUAAAGCACUUUUGUCCGGAAAGAAAUCCUUGGCUCUAAUACAGUCGGGGGAUGACGGUACCGGAAGAAUAAGCACCGGCUAACUACGUGCCAGCAGCCGCGGUAAUACGUAGGGUGCAAGCGUUAAUCGGAAUUACUGGGCGUAAAGCGUGCGCAGGCGGUUUGCUAAGACCGAUGUGAAAUCCCCGGGCUCAACCUGGGAACUGCAUUGGUGACUGGCAGGCUAGAGUAUGGCAGAGGGGGGUAGAAUUCCACGUGUAGCAGUGAAAUGCGUAGAGAUGUGGAGGAAUACCGAUGGCGAAGGCAGCCCCCUGGGCCAAUACUGACGCUCAUGCACGAAAGCGUGGGGAGCAAACAGGAUUAGAUACCCUGGUAGUCCACGCCCUAAACGAUGUCAACUAGUUGUUGGGGAUUCAUUUCCUUAGUAACGUAGCUAACGCGUGAAGUUGACCGCCUGGGGAGUACGGUCGCAAGAUUAAAACUCAAAGGAAUUGACGGGGUCAUAGCUG